CCUACGGGUGGCAGCAGUGGGGGAUAUUGCACAAUGGGGGGAACCCUGAUGCAGCGACGCCGCGUGUGGGAAGACGGUCCUCUGGAUUGUAAACCACUGUCCCCAGGGACGAAAAUGACGGUACCUGGGGAGGAUGCUUCGGCUAACUACGUGCCAGCAGCCGCGGUAAUACGUAGGGAGCGCGCGUUGUCCGGAUUUACGGGGUGUAAGGGGAGCGUAGGGGGGUGUGCAAGGUGUGGUGAAAAACUACGGGCUCAACUGGUAGUCGCACUCGAAACUGCAGCUCUUGAGUGAAGUAGAGGCAGGCGGAAUUCCUAGUGUAGCGGUGAAAUGCGUAGAUAUUAGGAAGAACACCAGUGGCGAAGGCGGCCUGCUGGGCUUUUACUGACGCUGAGGCUCGAAAGUGUGGGGAGCAAACAGGAUUAGAUACCCCUGUAGUC
RNAcentral lists this ribosomal RNA (440 nucleotides) under uncultured bacterium. RNAcentral's name for it is "partial 16S ribosomal RNA". It matches the Rfam family "Bacterial small subunit ribosomal RNA", at positions 338 to 795 of the family's 1533-position model. The record is from RNAcentral.